UACGGAGGAUGCAAGCGUUAUCCGGAUUCAUUGGGUUUAAAGGGUACGUAGGUGGUUUCUUAAGUCAGAGGUGAAAGGCUACGGCUCAACCGUAGUAAGCCUUUGAAACUGGGAAACUUGAGUGCAGGAGAGGAGAGUGGAAUUCCUAGUGUAGCGGUGAAAUGCGUAGAUAUUAGGAGGAACACCAGUUGCGAAGGCGGCUCUCUGGACUGUAACUGACACUGAGGCACGAAAGCGUGGGGAGCAAACAGGAUUAGAUACCCUGGUAGUCCCUGA
RNAcentral lists this ribosomal RNA (276 nucleotides) under uncultured prokaryote. RNAcentral's name for it is "partial 16S ribosomal RNA". It matches the Rfam family "Bacterial small subunit ribosomal RNA", at positions 524 to 800 of the family's 1533-position model. The record is from RNAcentral.